CUGGCUCAGGAUGAACGCUAGCUACAGGCUUAACACAUGCAAGUCAGGGGCAGCAGGAAUCUAGCUUGCUAGAUUUGCUGGCGACCGGCGCACGGGUGAGUAACGCGUAUCCAACCUUCCCCUUAGUAGGGCAUAGCCCGUAGAAAUGCGGAUUAAUACCCUAUGUUAUUCGUCGAGGACAUCUGAAGUGAAUCAAAGGUUUACCGCUAAGGGAUGGGGAUGCGUCUGAUUAGGCAGCAGGCGGGGUAACGGCCCACCUGGCCGACGAUCGGUAGGGGUUCUGAGAGGAAGGUCCCCCACAUUGGAACUGAGACACGGUCCAAACUCCUACGGGAGGCAGCAGUGAGGAAUAUUGGUCAAUGGGCGAGAGCCUGAACCAGCCAAGUAGCGUGCCAGGAUGACGGCCCUAUGGGUUGUAAACUGCUUUUAUGCGGGGAUAAAGUGCGGCACGCGUGCCGUUUUGUAGGUACCGCAUGAAUAAGGACCGGCUAAUUCCGUGCCAGCCGCCGC
RNAcentral lists this ribosomal RNA (510 nucleotides) under uncultured bacterium. Its description in RNAcentral is "bacterial SSU rRNA". It matches the Rfam family "Bacterial small subunit ribosomal RNA", at positions 19 to 518 of the family's 1533-position model. The record is from RNAcentral.